Molecule: ribosomal RNA, 440 nt
Filed under: uncultured bacterium
Lineage: Bacteria
Description: partial 16S ribosomal RNA
Rfam family: Bacterial small subunit ribosomal RNA
Source: RNAcentral
CCUACGGGAGGCAGCAGAGGGGAAUAUUGCACAAUGGGGGAAACCCUGAUGCAGCGACGCCGCGUGAGUGAAGAAGGAAUUCGUUAUGUAAAGCUCUAUCAGCAGGGAAGAAAAUGACGGUACCUGAGUAAGAAGCCCCGGCUAACUACGUGCCAGCAGCCGCGGUAAUACGUAGGGGGCAAGCGUUAUCCGGAUUUACUGGGUAGAAAGGGAGCGUAGACGGCAGUGCAAGUCUGGAGUGAAAGGCGGGGGCUCAACCCCCGGACUGCUCUGGAAACUGUACGGCUGGAGUGCAGGAGAGGUAAGUGGAAUUCCUAGUGUAGCGGUGAAAUGCGUAGAUAUUAGGAGGAACACCAGUGGCGAAGGCGGCUUACUGGACUGUAACUGACGUUGAGGCUCGAAAGCGUGGGGAGCAAACAGGAUUAGAUACCCCUGUAGUC